GAUGAACGCUGGCGGCGUGCCUAAUACAUGCAAGUCGAGCGAACGGACGAGAAGCUUGCUUCUCUGAUGUUAGCGGCGGACGGGUGAGUAACACGUGGAUAACCUACCUAUAAGACUGGGAUAACUUCGGGAAACCGGAGCUAAUACCGGAUAAUAUUUUGAACCGCAUGGUUCAAAAGUGAAAGACGGUCUUGCUGUCACUUAUAGAUGGAUCCGCGCUGCAUUAGCUAGUUGGUAAGGUAACGGCUUACCAAGGCAACGAUGCAUAGCCGACCUGAGAGGGUGAUCGGCCACACUGGAACUGAGACACGGUCCAGACUCCUACGGGAGGCAGCAGUAGGGAAUCUUCCGCAAUGGGCGAAAGCCUGACGGAGCAACGCCGCGUGAGUGAUGAAGGUCUUCGGAUCGUAAAACUCUGUUAUUAGGGAAGAACAUAUGUGUAAGUAACUGUGCACAUCUGGACGGGACCGAAUCAGAAAGCCACGGCUAACUACGU
This 496-nucleotide ribosomal RNA is filed under the name uncultured bacterium. RNAcentral describes it as "partial 16S ribosomal RNA". It matches the Rfam family "Bacterial small subunit ribosomal RNA", at positions 28 to 506 of the family's 1533-position model. The record is from RNAcentral.